Hyaena hyaena (striped hyena) is the source of this 130-nucleotide small nucleolar RNA. The record is from RefSeq and is a predicted model, not a curated record. Lineage: Eukaryota; Metazoa; Chordata; Mammalia; Carnivora; Hyaenidae.
CUUCUGCCUUGGAGCUUGGCGCCUGCGCGUGGUGCCAGGGUCAGGGUGCAACGCCAGAGCAAGCGCUUCCUUAUAAUUGUGGCCGCCGGUCCUCCGCCGCCGUGGGCCUUUAAAACCACGAGCAACACGG